RNAcentral lists this transfer RNA (86 nucleotides) under Kwoniella pini CBS 10737. Its description in RNAcentral is "tRNA-His". The record is from RNAcentral. Lineage: Eukaryota; Fungi; Basidiomycota; Tremellomycetes; Tremellales; Cryptococcaceae.
GUCUCUGUCGUAUAGGUGGUCAGUACGUUACAUUGUGGUGAAUCUACAAUUCUGUGGAGACAGCUGUUCGAGUCAGCUCAGGGACA